RNAcentral lists this ribosomal RNA (254 nucleotides) under uncultured bacterium. RNAcentral describes it as "partial 16S ribosomal RNA". It matches the Rfam family "Bacterial small subunit ribosomal RNA", at positions 524 to 776 of the family's 1533-position model. The record is from RNAcentral.
UACGUAGGGUGCAAGCGUUGUCCGGAAUUAUUGGGCGUAAAGAGCUCGUAGGCGGUCUGUCACGUCGGCUGUGAAAUCCCGAGGCUCAACCUCGCGCCUGCAGUGGGUACGGGCAGACUAGAGUGCGGUAGGGGAGAUUGGAAUUCCUGGUGUAGCGGUGGAAUGCGCAGAUAUCAGGAGGAACACCGAUGGCGAAGGCAGAUCUCUGGGCCGUAACUGGACGCUGAGGAGCGAAAGCGUGGGGAGCGAACAGG